CGCCCCCGCGGAACCGUUCACGCUCGCGCGUUUCCCAUCAGCUUUUCAAACUUAGUUCUAAAGCUUCUCUCCUAACGCUCCAUCGAACCGUUCAAACGAUUGACUGCGAGCUCGGGAGGGGCGUAGCGUGUGUGUGUGCAACCCCCUCCGACUGAUAGGAAACGUGGACUGCGCUCUCCCCUCGGUUACUUGCAUCAUCCGCCUGCAAUGGGCUGUAAUUCAUUGACUGACUUGCCCCAUUAAUUUUCCUGGGACUACUCUUGAGUAAUUAGCCUGCCUGCAGGUCAAGAACAGGCUGUUUUUGUGUAUUAGGGUGGAGCAGCCCCCUGCAGUUUGUUACACACUAUGCUUUUCCUGUGGCACUCACCAAUAGUUUGAGAGGAUAAAAGCAUCAUUUAAUCAUUUUUAUUUAAAAAAAGAUCCUUUUCUGCACCCUGGUUUUCAGGUCUGGAAGCACUGCAGCCCCCAAAAAAGCUGGCUCUGUAUUGGUUUUUCCACAAAGUAUUUAAUUUAUUCAAGCUGAAUUUUGCAUUAUGAGGAUACUAAUGGAAGCAGCCAGACAUCAAAGUACUGUAUUAGUUUUCAAAUUCAGUAAAAUCCUCCUUUUAGCAUGCAGCCUGCAGAGAAGUAGGGGAGCAGAAGAAAGGCUACAGCUAACACUGACAAAAUCCUCAGAUUUUAUUCAAAUUGGGUUCACCCCUGCUUGCUGGGACACAUUAACCACCCUCACUACAUUUAAGUGUGUUCUUCUGAAAAACCCAAUUACUCUCAGCUGAAGUAAAAGGGAAUUGAUGAACACCCACUUGUAUAAACUUGCAGCACCUAUGAAGGAAUACCUUGUCACAGUCAAGCAUUUUUUUUUAAAGCUCUACUUCACCCAACACUGUCCUUAGAAAGAAAUGGAAUUUUAGGUAGUUUAAAUGUGUUUACUACACAGACCUUCACUCUGCAGCUGCAAUCUGCUAAACGACCAGUUUUAGCCAACAAAAUCCAAGUGCCGAAGAACAAACUAGGACAGCCCUUGUGUAGGACUUAAACCAUAUUAUCCUCUUCAGUGAACACAUUUCCAGCAGCCAUUUAGCUUUGAAAAACUGAGUACAUGUUUUGAGUCCUGUCUUGCAACCAAACCAUUUCACUUACUCAUGGCCAGCUGGGAUCUCUUCAAGAGGACCUGAUAACUAAGUUACAAUUAUACUUUGUGUCUAGACUGAUACCUGCAGGUGUCACUCUUGAAAGACUACAGCAUUUUGAGAAGUUAUAUGUGAAGACAACCUGGGUUUCAAAUGACCACUAAUUUAAAACUGCAGUUUAUUUGUAUCCAUAUCCCACCCUUCCUCCAAAGAACUUAGGUCAAUGUACAUAGGAUACCAGUUUUUGUCUUCAGUCACCUUCUAAGCUCUCUCCAAGGAUAUAAAAGAACGGAUGGCAAAAAUUAACACAAGAUUAAUAAUGGAUUAAACCACGGACAGGAGCACGACUUACCGACAACCACAUCCAAAGAAACGAGCCAAGAGAAAGAGGAAACGCCGGGUAGGCGGCCCAGGAAAUACCAGCACAAGUCCUGCUAUUGGCUGAAAAGACAAGCCAAUCACUGCUGUGGCUCGAGUACGUUAAUACGGGCGUUAACGUAUUAGGAAUAAGGGCAAGCUUGUUGCAUUGCUCUCCAGGUUUAAACUACUGUGCCUUAGCUAUAUGUCGUUUAUUAACGCUUGCAUUUUGCGGCGAAGUGUCCUUUGCAAAUUGUGGGAUAUAUUUGUUUUCUCUUUCUAGUUCAGUUAUUCCGCCUUUAUUACCAAUGUAUGAAUUCAAUAUAAUGGGGUGUGGUAGAAAGA
Long non-coding RNA from Hemicordylus capensis (graceful crag lizard), 1832 nucleotides. RefSeq lists it as uncharacterized. Lineage: Eukaryota; Metazoa; Chordata; Lepidosauria; Squamata; Cordylidae. The transcript is spliced from 2 exons. The record is from RefSeq and is a predicted model, not a curated record.